This 492-nucleotide ribosomal RNA is filed under the name uncultured bacterium. RNAcentral describes it as "partial 16S ribosomal RNA". It matches the Rfam family "Bacterial small subunit ribosomal RNA", at positions 29 to 507 of the family's 1533-position model. The record is from RNAcentral.
AGUGAACGCUGGCGGUAGGCCUAACACAUGCAAGUCGAACGGCAGCACAGUAAGAGCUUGCUCUUACGGGUGGCGAGUGGCGGACGGGUGAGGAAUACAUCGGAAUCUACUUUUUCGUGGGGGAUAACGUAGGGAAACUUACGCUAAUACCGCAUACGACCUACGGGUGAAAGCAGGGGAUCUUCGGACCUUGCGCGAUUGAAUGAGCCGAUAUCGGAUUAGCUGGUUGGCGGGGUAAAGGCCCACCAAGGCGACGAUCCGUAGCUGGUCUGAGAGGAUGAUCAGCCACACUGGAACUGAGACACGGUCCAGACUCCUACGGGAGGCAGCAGUGGGGAAUAUUGGACAAUGGGCGCAAGCCUGAUCCAGCCAUACCGCGUGGGUGAAGAAGGCCUUCGGGUUGUAAAGCCCUUUUGUUGGGAAAGAAAAGCAGCAGGUUAAUACCCCGCUGUUCUGACGGUACCCAAAGAAUAAGCACCGGCUAACUUCGUG